RNAcentral lists this ribosomal RNA (2772 nucleotides) under Escherichia coli. RNAcentral describes it as "bacterial LSU rRNA". It matches the Rfam family "Bacterial large subunit ribosomal RNA". The record is from RNAcentral. Lineage: Bacteria; Pseudomonadati; Pseudomonadota; Gammaproteobacteria; Enterobacterales; Enterobacteriaceae.
AGCGUACACGGUGGAUGCCCUGGCAGUCAGAGGCGAUGAAGGACGUGCUAAUCUGCGAUAAGCGUCGGUAAGGUGAUAUGAACCGUUAUAACCGGCGAUUUCCGAAUGGGGAAACCCAGUGUGUUUCGACACACUAUCAUUAACUGAAUCCAUAGGUUAAUGAGGCGAACCGGGGGAACUGAAACAUCUAAGUACCCCGAGGAAAAGAAAUCAACCGAGAUUCCCCCAGUAGCGGCGAGCGAACGGGGAGCAGCCCAGAGCCUGAAUCAGUGUGUGUGUUAGUGGAAGCGUCUGGAAAGGCGCGCGAUACAGGGUGACAGCCCCGUACACAAAAAUGCACAUGCUGUGAGCUCGAUGAGUAGGGCGGGACACGUGGUAUCCUGUCUGAAUAUGGGGGGACCAUCCUCCAAGGCUAAAUACUCCUGACUGACCGAUAGUGAACCAGUACCGUGAGGGAAAGGCGAAAAGAACCCCGGCGAGGGGAGUGAAAAAGAACCUGAAACCGUGUACGUACAAGCAGUGGGAGCACGCUUAGGCGUGUGACUGCGUACCUUUUGUAUAAUGGGUCAGCGACUUAUAUUCUGUAGCAAGGUUAACCGAAUAGGGGAGCCGAAGGGAAACCGAGUCUUAACUGGGCGUUAAGUUGCAGGGUAUAGACCCGAAACCCGGUGAUCUAGCCAUGGGCAGGUUGAAGGUUGGGUAACACUAACUGGAGGACCGAACCGACUAAUGUUGAAAAAUUAGCGGAUGACUUGUGGCUGGGGGUGAAAGGCCAAUCAAACCGGGAGAUAGCUGGUUCUCCCCGAAAGCUAUUUAGGUAGCGCCUCGUGAAUUCAUCUCCGGGGGUAGAGCACUGUUUCGGCAAGGGGGUCAUCCCGACUUACCAACCCGAUGCAAACUGCGAAUACCGGAGAAUGUUAUCACGGGAGACACACGGCGGGUGCUAACGUCCGUCGUGAAGAGGGAAACAACCCAGACCGCCAGCUAAGGUCCCAAAGUCAUGGUUAAGUGGGAAACGAUGUGGGAAGGCCCAGACAGCCAGGAUGUUGGCUUAGAAGCAGCCAUCAUUUAAAGAAAGCGUAAUAGCUCACUGGUCGAGUCGGCCUGCGCGGAAGAUGUAACGGGGCUAAACCAUGCACCGAAGCUGCGGCAGCGACACUGUGUGUUGUUGGGUAGGGGAGCGUUCUGUAAGCCUGUGAAGGUGUGCUGUGAGGCAUGCUGGAGGUAUCAGAAGUGCGAAUGCUGACAUAAGUAACGAUAAAGCGGGUGAAAAGCCCGCUCGCCGGAAGACCAAGGGUUCCUGUCCAACGUUAAUCGGGGCAGGGUGAGUCGACCCCUAAGGCGAGGCCGAAAGGCGUAGUCGAUGGGAAACAGGUUAAUAUUCCUGUACUUGGUGUUACUGCGAAGGGGGGACGGAGAAGGCUAUGUUGGCCGGGCGACGGUUGUCCCGGUUUAAGCGUGUAGGCUGGUUUUCCAGGCAAAUCCGGAAAAUCAAGGCUGAGGCGUGAUGACGAGGCACUACGGUGCUGAAGCAACAAAUGCCCUGCUUCCAGGAAAAGCCUCUAAGCAUCAGGUAACAUCAAAUCGUACCCCAAACCGACACAGGUGGUCAGGUAGAGAAUACCAAGGCGCUUGAGAGAACUCGGGUGAAGGAACUAGGCAAAAUGGUGCCGUAACUUCGGGAGAAGGCACGCUGAUAUGUAGGUGAAGCGACUUGCUCGUGGAGCUGAAAUCAGUCGAAGAUACCAGCUGGCUGCAACUGUUUAUUAAAAACACAGCACUGUGCAAACACGAAAGUGGACGUAUACGGUGUGACGCCUGCCCGGUGCCGGAAGGUUAAUUGAUGGGGUCAGCGCAAGCGAAGCUCUUGAUCGAAGCCCCGGUAAACGGCGGCCGUAACUAUAACGGUCCUAAGGUAGCGAAAUUCCUUGUCGGGUAAGUUCCGACCUGCACGAAUGGCGUAAUGAUGGCCAGGCUGUCUCCACCCGAGACUCAGUGAAAUUGAACUCGCUGUGAAGAUGCAGUGUACCCGCGGCAAGACGGAAAGACCCCGUGAACCUUUACUAUAGCUUGACACUGAACAUUGAGCCUUGAUGUGUAGGAUAGGUGGGAGGCUUAGAAGUGUGGACGCCAGUCUGCAUGGAGCCGACCUUGAAAUACCACCCUUUAAUGUUUGAUGUUCUAACGUUGACCCGUAAUCCGGGUUGCGGACAGUGUCUGGUGGGUAGUUUGACUGGGGCGGUCUCCUCCUAAAGAGUAACGGAGGAGCACGAAGGUUGGCUAAUCCUGGUCGGACAUCAGGAGGUUAGUGCAAUGGCAUAAGCCAGCUUGACUGCGAGCGUGACGGCGCGAGCAGGUGCGAAAGCAGGUCAUAGUGAUCCGGUGGUUCUGAAUGGAAGGGCCAUCGCUCAACGGAUAAAAGGUACUCCGGGGAUAACAGGCUGAUACCGCCCAAGAGUUCAUAUCGACGGCGGUGUUUGGCACCUCGAUGUCGGCUCAUCACAUCCUGGGGCUGAAGUAGGUCCCAAGGGUAUGGCUGUUCGCCAUUUAAAGUGGUACGCGAGCUGGGUUUAGAACGUCGUGAGACAGUUCGGUCCCUAUCUGCCGUGGGCGCUGGAGAACUGAGGGGGGCUGCUCCUAGUACGAGAGGACCGGAGUGGACGCAUCACUGGUGUUCGGGUUGUCAUGCCAAUGGCACUGCCCGGUAGCUAAAUGCGGAAGAGAUAAGUGCUGAAAGCAUCUAAGCACGAAACUUGCCCCGAGAUGAGUUCU